GAGAUGCUGGCUGAAGGAUUCAUGACUUCUCUUUUUCAUACUACCACAGGUCUUACAAAGUGACCUCAGAUCAGUUUAUCUUAGAACAUUCAAUCGCCCCUUAACAUUGGUCAGCUUCAAAGUAUCCACCUUUAGGGAAUUAGUGUCACAUAGGGUAAUGGAGUAGCUGCAAAGAAACAGACUUUGUCUCAUUUUUCUCUUACAGAGGUGAACUGUCUGGACCACUGAGCCUCAAGCCUUCAGGAUAUUCUGCUUUAUUUUAUUGGUCUCAGUCAUGAUCUGGAACAUGAAAGGAAAUAUGAGGAAACUUCAAGCUGAGAUCAUUCUGCAAGUCAAAAGAUUAAGAUGAGGAGAAUGAUCUCUGAACUGGGAAAUAAAAUGAACUGGACAAAACAAAAAAUGGAUAGCAGUGUUUUACCCUACGAUCAUAAAAUUACUUAAACCACAGAAUUAAUUAAAGCUUGAAAGCACCUUAGAGAUCAUCUA
Molecule: long non-coding RNA, 486 nt
Filed under: Monodelphis domestica (gray short-tailed opossum)
Lineage: Eukaryota; Metazoa; Chordata; Mammalia; Didelphimorphia; Didelphidae
Description: lncRNA (ENSMODG00000031926.2)
Source: RNAcentral